GCUCUCAUAGUAUAGUGGUGUAAUGUGGACUGUUACAAUUAAGGUGUUAUCUAAGGUCCCGAGUUCGAUUCCCGCUGAGAGCU
This is a non-coding RNA of Backusella circina FSU 941, 83 nucleotides long. Lineage: Eukaryota; Fungi; Mucoromycota; Mucoromycetes; Mucorales; Backusellaceae. The record is from the annotation of a GenBank genome assembly.